RNAcentral lists this long non-coding RNA (3564 nucleotides) under Homo sapiens (human). RNAcentral describes it as "HSALNT0337490". The record is from RNAcentral. Lineage: Eukaryota; Metazoa; Chordata; Mammalia; Primates; Hominidae.
CUGACUUGCUGAGUUUUCCAGCGUUUAUCUUUCUCCCGCGCUGGAUGCUUCCUGCCUUUGAACAUCAGACUCCAAGUUCUUUGGCUUCUGGACUCUUGGACUUACACCAGUGGUUUGUCGGGGCUCUCAGGUCUUCUGCCACAGACUGAAGGCUAUACUGUCAGCUUCCCUACUUUUGAGGUUUUGGGACUCGGACUGAGCCACUGCUGGCUUCCUCGCUCCUCAGCUUGCACGCGGCCUAUCGGGGGACUUCACCUUGUGAGCGUAAUGCUGACUUGGUUUAUGUAUCUAUCUCUUUCCCACACCAUCUAUGCCUCAGAGAAAUCUUCACAAACUCAGCUUCAAGGAUGGGUCAGAGCCUUGGAAACUGCAUCUGCCUGGCUGUCAUUUUCUGCAAGUGCUGGUGUAAUUUCAAGAUUUGCUUGCCAAAUGCAUUAUAGCAUACUGGACAAAAACAAGGACUGCUGGGAUGAAAUUGAGAUUAUGAAGCUCUUGAGGUAUAAAGAAGAAAACUUUCACAAAUACCUUAGCAGAGAGAAUAUUAAAGUGUUCUCUCUACCUUCUCUCAUACUUACCCCACUGCAUCACCAGAACAACCCAUCACCUACAGUAAAUGUAAAAAAGGGACAGACAGGGAUGUUUUUAUAGGGAGUCUAAAGGAUAUCCUUUUUAAUAAUCACAGUUUACCACCACCAACUAUGUCACAGUUCUGGAACAUUCAGGAGCUGAUAUGUGUUUCAAAGGCUUGAAGUUCUUUCUAUUUUAUAUGUCAGAGGGGAAAUCUAGAUUUAUAUCAGUGAGCUAGAAAAAUUUAUCUACAGAGAAAUGUAAAAUGUUAAAGAGAUGUAAGGAAGCGAAUCUUUUGAAAGGAAGACAAAUAUUUAUGUAUAUAUCAGGCCAUUUGAUUUGUGCUAUUUCUCCCUAAAGUAGGACUCUGAUACAAACAAUGUAGAAACAAGGAGGAAGGGACAAAAUAAAAAAAUAAUUUAUUUUAUCUCUCAGGGUUUAAUAUUAGCCUUCUAUGUAGUUCAACAUUAGUAUCAUCAAUACAUUCAACUCCAUGAACACUGUCUUUCUGUAGACCUCUUUUUCAUUCCCAUGAUUCACUUAAUGAACCUAGCAAUAAUGGUGAUAUUAACAACAAGUAGUCAAAUGAGAUGUAGCACCUGACUUUGGAGGGAUGUGGGGUCAGAUGAUCAGCAUUUGAGGUAUCUUUGUUCACUUGCUUUUACCACCCUGACCACAGGCAUCCUGUUUUCUCACUGAGGAGGAGGGCACUGCUCUGGUUGUAUUACAGAGCAAAGUUUGGCCCACAUUUUUAAUGGAUGGAAUCACUAUUUCAUACAAGGACAAGGUUCAUGGGUGUGGCUUUCUCUUCGUUUUCUCUCUUCUACAGGAUGGAAUAAUAAGGGCCAGAGACUGCUCUUCCAUGGAAAAAUGUUGAGAUGUCUCACAACCCCCAAACCCCAUAUAAUCUACUUGGAAUUAGUCAGUGGUGGUGAUGUUGGCACCACAGUUCAACUUUUCAUCUCUUGCUCUAUAUCUCCGGUUCUAUCUCGUCGAUGCUGGGCGAAUGUUCAAUUUUAAAAGACAGAGAUAUCUUUAUGAUCUGUUUGAGCUUGAAACUAUUUAGGCCUAAAGUAUUAUAGGACAAAGUUACAUAGUAAAGGAAAGCUCACUAAUGUUUCAUAGGUUGAGUUACAAUUCUCAAGCCUGAGAUCUUUUGGUGGAAAUUGCAACCUCUGCAAAAUAGUAUGUUUGAAGACCAUAUGUGGGGUGAUAAUUGUAGUCUAAGGGACAAGAUUCCGAAAAUCCUGGAUUUCCUAGCUGUAAUGUUUAAUAGCCUUACAAUUUCACCCCUUAUUUUACACACCUCAGAGUGUUAUUUUAAACCCUUUGGUUUUUAUUCCUACAUAGAACUCUUAAAGAACCUUGGCUUCUGGGUCAGAGAGUAAGAGAGAUAACAAAAGAUUCAGAAGAAAUAAAAAGUACCCUAUAAAAGGAUCAAAGGAGUAAAAUACAGGUCUGAAGAUGCAUUGCAAAACAAUUAUUUAGGUGUUGUCAAAUUAUAAAAUUAUCUUUCAAAUGUAAAUAUAGAUCUGGUGCUAUAAUUAAUAUUGGCAAGUCUCCUUUAAGAUGUCAAGCUUCAGCAUUUAAUUUCAUAAUGGACCUUUCAAAUGAUGAUAUUUACCUUAUAAAACAAACUAAAAGGCAUUUAGGAUAAAGUUCAGAAUGUGACUUACAAGGAUGUCAAUGAGAAAUGCCUUUACACUGUUCCAAAUAUAGAAAAUCACAUGCAUGUUUUGGUGAGAAAUUUUGAAUAACUUGGAGGAUAUAUAAGUCCUGAUACUCAGAAACAGUAGUUUUCAUUGUGAUUUAAAUUUUUGAGACUUUCCCAGCUAUUCCAAGAAUUAUUUAAAGCAAAUAUGAUAAUUAUGCACAGCACAAUAUUGUUUUGGCCUGAUUAAGCAGUGAUAGUUUAUACUGCCUAGAUGUCAUUAAUAAGUUAUUCCUCUUCUAAGUCCCCAAAUCCAGCUACCCAAACAUGUUACUUCUACCUCCAAAUUGUCUUCUUUUCUUUUAGAGUUCCCAUGCUAAUGACAUAUUAUGUUGAUGCCACUGCAAAAGCCAUUUUUGGUUGCUAACUCUAGUUCCAUUAUCAUUCAGAAUUAUCUUAAAUAAACACAAUUUGAAUUUUAGGAUUUUUUUCUUUUGUAAUUGAAGGCAAGCAAGCCAGAAACAGAAACAGGAGGAAGGAGUGCACUUAAUCCAUAUUAGGAACUGCAGCUCAAAAAGAUAUGCUGCUGAAUUGUUAUUGAGGAGAUAAGAAAAAGGAAGUAGAAUUUAGGUGAAUAGUAUCCUUAAUUAAUAUGGAAGAGUCUGGAACAUAAGCUGUUUUAGGGGCAAGAGAGAUGGAGAUGGUGAAUAAAAUAGGACACAGAAUUCAGAAAUGGACAUGCCUGCUCGACAUUUGGAAGCUUAUGUUAGAAUGCAGGAAAGAUGUUUUACAAUUAAUCAGUGGAAAUCAUUCCCUUGCAGUUGUCUCUUUGGCAAGGUGUUUGUGAUAGUGCCAGUGUUAGAAGAGUCAAACAGAGAUUCAUCGAGAAAAUAACUAGUUCGUUCGUUUCAGUUUUGUUUGUGGUGUGAUGAGGUGAUAUCUGAGCCAUGUUCUCUACCCUAAUUUUUUUAAAUGCAUAAUGUUACCAUAACUCCUCACCUGUUUAAAGUUCUUCUCCAUUCUUCACUUAUUUUUGCCUAAUAUAGAUGAUGAUUAAAAACCUAAGGUGUGAGUGUUUUUAUGCCAUUAGAAAGGUGAGAAAUCCCAUUUAACACUUCUGCUGUAGCCUUCUGAUUACACCUAGAAAAUUGCUGGAUUGCUGCUAUCUUACAAAUUGAUGAAUGGGAUCGGGUAUACGAACAGCAGGAUUAUUAUUUGUUCCCCUAACAAGUGAAUGACAUGUCGGCCUAAAUGAUAUGCCAGCAACGUAAAGUAGUUAAAGCCUCUUCCCCAGAAUAUUGAACAUUGCAGUGCUUAUUCUGUCAGCUAAACUGAAGUUGUUUCAG